This 4946-nucleotide long non-coding RNA is filed under the name Brassica napus (rape). RNAcentral describes it as "long non-coding RNA (BNAP_LNC004714)". The stretch from base 3905 to 3986 matches the Rfam family "tRNA". The record is from RNAcentral. Lineage: Eukaryota; Viridiplantae; Streptophyta; Magnoliopsida; Brassicales; Brassicaceae.
CCUCCUCCUCCGUUCUCCUCCUCUCCUUUCGCAUCUGCUCCGCCGCCAGGUGUUGUUCCACCUCAAUCCGGUGGACCAGAGGCGGUUGGCUUUAGACCACCUGCAAGGCCUUUCACACCUUCUGGUCCUCCUAUGGCUCCACCAGCGGGUGUGAUGAGGCCUGGCCAACCUCCUUUGGUUUCUCAGCUUCCAGGGAGUAGACCUCCACCGCCAUCAGCUUAUGGUCCUCCCGGUGGUGGUGGUUCUUUUCAGCGGUUUCCAACCCCUCCUCCUAGUGGUGUACCACCACCACCUCAAACUCUUGCAGGUCACUUAUCGCCUCCCAUGUCUUUUCGCCCACAGCAACCAAUGGCUCCUGUUACAAUGGGACCUCCUCCACAGAGUAUGACUUCUGGAAUACCUGGAGGGUUUGCUUCUCCCUCUGGUCCUGGUUUUCAACAGUCCAUGCCUGGUGGUCCACAGCCAUCUUAUCCUGGUUAUCCCAGUAAUCAGGUCUUACGGGGUCCCCCAAAGCCGUUCCAGUCUCCAUCUCAGGGUCCUCCGUCUGCAGUCUCAUCGUAUCCUCCUCAGACAGGAGGUUUUGCUCAGCACCCAGGACAGCAGAACAUGCAUCCAAGCUAUGCUCCUCCUCCUACCAGUAACGUUCAAGGCUUGGUUGAAGAUUUCAAUUCGCUGUCCCUUUCAAAUAUUCCGGGGUCGCUUGAGCCAGGACUUGAUCAUACCUCGUUCCCAAGGCCAUUGGAUGGUGACGUGGAGCCGAGUUCGUUUGCUGAAGCGUACCCUAUGAAUUGCCAUUCUAGAUAUCUGCGGCUGACAACUAAUGCGAUUCCAAAUUCACAGUCUCUGGCGUCGAGGUGGCAUUUGCCUCUAGGAGCUGUUGUUUGUCCACUUGCUGAGGCUCCUGAAGGGGUUAGUAUUUGCCAAACUAAUAAUCAAGUCUUUUAAAUUCUUUCAUGUUUUGAUAAUCUGGAACUAUUCACCUACUAUAUAUGAGCAUAUAACUUUUCCCUUAUUUUGAAAAUUGUCGUUUUAUCUGUUCAGGAGGAAGUGCCAUUAAUUGAUUUUGGUUCAAGUGGCAUCAUCCGCUGCAGAAGAUGCCGUACCUAUGUGAAUCCUUAUGUUACUUUCACAGAUUCUGGAAGAAAGUGGCGGUGUAAUAUUUGUUCUAUGCUUAAUGAGGGUAAUUUUUCCGAAUCUCCAGGAUUAGUGUUGUUAACCAAUGUGAUAUAGAACGUUGUUGUUGAUUGAAUAUGCCUUGUCUAAUGGUCGUGCAGUUUCUUUCUCUCUGAUUUUUCUUAAUCGUUAGUUUUUCCCAGUUGUCUUUGUCUAAUCUGUCCUAGUAGAAUUAUCGUAAAUGGAUUUGGUGAAAGCUACAAGGAACUGUUUUUGGUGUUAUGUAUGCUUUUUUCUGUUGUUGUGGAAUGUCAUCCCUGUCAAUAUACCUGUACAUCUGAUAUGAACUUCUCCCAGUCACUGGAAUGUCCUUUCCAUAAACUAUUUGAGAGAUGGCUUUACGUCAGUACAUGCAGGCAUAUGUUUAUAAGAUGAAUAUUCAUGGUUAUGGGUCUAAUGUUUUGUUCAGUGCCUGGUGAAUACUUCUCACAUUUGGAUGCUACUGGCCGAAGAAUGGACUUGGAUCAAAGGCUUGAGCUGACAAAGGGCAGUGUUGAAAUUAUUGCUCCAACAGAAUACAUGGUUCGGCCUCCGAUGCCACCAAUUUACUUCUUCCUCAUUGAUGUAUCAUUUUCUGCUACUAAAAGUGGGAUGCUCGAGGUAAGCAUGUUGGAUUUUAAUAUUCCACCUUGUAAUUUGUUGUGCAAUACCUUAGUUAGUAAGAACCAAUCCAUGUCUGCUUUUAUCUGAAUACACUACGUAUCGAUGGAUCUUGACUAGAUUAGACAUGCUGUCCCCUGUAGAGGCAUGCUGUGAAACUUUGAUCUUAUGCUGACCCUUUUUUCUCCUUUGGCAGGUUGCUACUCAAACGAUUAAGUCUUGUUUAGAUAACCUUCCUGGUUAUCCCAGAACUCAAAUUGGAUUUAUUACUUACGACAGCACUUUACAUUUUUAUAACAUGAAGGUAACAUAAUUGUAAAUUCAGUGGAUUUUUUUGUUCUGAAAUACUCUAGCCUUAAUCGCGUAUUUUUAUUGGACCUGGGUAAUGCAGUCAUCUUUGAGUCAGCCGCAAAUGAUGGUCGUUUCUGAUUUAGAUGAUAUAUUUGUCCCAUUACCGGAUGAUCUCCUUGUCAAUCUGUCUGAGUCUAGAAAUGUAGUGGAAGCCUUUUUGGACAGUCUGCCUCUGAUGUUUCAAAAUAAUGUCAAUGUGGAAUCGGCUUUUGGUCCAGCCCUCAAAGCGGCGUACAUGGUUAUGGUUAGUUACUGUGCUGCCAUGUCAAAUGAAAAUCAAAUAAUUCAUUUGAUGUGAGAGUCCUAUAUGGAAGCUCAUCUGGAAUUUGUAUCAGUUUGUAGUUGACUCUGUUUUCUCUUUCUAUUUCAGAACCAACUUGGUGGCAAGUUGCUAAUUUUCCAGAACUCGUUACCUUCUCUUGGUGUUGGGCGGUUAAAGUUGCGCGGAGAUGAUCCUCGUGUCUAUGGAACUGACAAAGAAUAUACUUUAAGAGUAGCUGAAGACACCUUCUAUAAGCAAAUGGCUGCCGAUUCGUCUGCUUCGGCGCAGAUGAUUUCUCCUCUGCUUCUUCUUCUGAAUCAUCAUCAUUUUCGUCGUCUUCCUCGUCUGCUUCUGCAGCUUCCUGCGCCGCGACGGCUUCUCUCGCAGACAUCUGCCUUUCGUCCUCGAACUUAACCACCGGAUGACGGAGGAUCCUAUCGUCUUCGCCGUCACCGUGAUCUCUGACGGAAUCGUGGCGUGAGAACUGCGGCUUGAAGCUCCUCGACGGGGGUCCGUCUCCAGGGAUGCUUACGUCGGGGAGAUCGUCCGGGUUUUUACUCGACCCGACCCGCAUUGAAGAUCCGCGCGUGAACAUCCCGCGUCCUGAAGAGCCAGGUGGAUCCGACAUUGGGGAUUGCGUAGAAUAAACAGACGGAGUUUGAACGGAACGCUGCUCCGAGGUGUUUGGGAUUGGGGAUAAGGAUAUCCGAGGCGAGGAUAUGCAGACGAGGUCCAAGCAGAACCGGUUCGUUCAAUAACAACGGUCGAUAAAGGAGAAUACAGGUUAGCUCUUUCUACAAACUAUAAUGGAAAUGUACCUCUUGCAUCGAAUUAGAGAGUGUUGAAUAACGUUUUAGCUAUGGAUUGCUUAGACUGAAAAUUCUAAAAUUUUGAUCAUUUGUUAGUUUUUGUGUUUCUUUUGGUAAUUUGUUUAUCUUUUCUUUUAAAUUUUCUAUUAACUUUUUUCGUUUUUUUGUUCUUGCCUCCUUAAUUUGGAAGAAAUUUUUGUGGCUAUAAGUGUUUUUAAAAUGCAGAACCAGGGGUAUGGAGGAACGAGUCUUAAGGUGGAAGAAAAUGAUCUAAAUUAAGGAUGGUUCCACAAUUUUGUGACAAGAGCUAUCCACUUUCCUUAUUUAUUGAUGAUCAAUCUUUUUUUAUUACAAGGCUGACAAAUUACCAGGUUAGUGAAUUUUUGCAUGAAGAGACAAAAUGUACAUGGAUCUACUGAAAUGCUUUUUCUAUGAGACUUCCAACCUUUCAUCAUGAAAAUUUAACUAACAAAAAAAUUAACUAAUGUUAGCCUUUUAUAAAGGAGUCUUGGCCAUUUUACAUUAAAUUUAUCUAAUCAUGGUUCUGACGUGAUAAAAGAUAAUAUUCAUGCUUUAUCACCAACAAAUUGACAGUGGUUUGUUUUCCUAUCAAGUGAGUAAUCUACGAAUGAAUAGGUAGUAGUGACAAAGUUUUGUUUUCUUGAGAUAUAUUUGUAAUAGUAUAUUUGCAAUUACGAAAAUCAAAAGAGUCAAUAUGUCCGAGUGGUUAAGGAGACAGACUUGAAAUCUGUUGGGCUUCGCCCGCGCAGGUUCGAACCCUGCUGUUGACGAUAUUUUUGAAAUUUGUUUUUUAUUCAAUACAAACCAUAGUUGUAAACGACAAAACUAGCCUAAUCUUUUUGCAAUGAUAAGCCCAAUUCUUGGCCCAUUAUCAAUACCACAUCGUCUCCUUCGCCGCGCAAUGUUACGUGUCAAAUCUUCUUAGAGGUCACGAUCUGAAUCCGAUCGCUGCUGUAGAAUCAGUUUCGUGCUCCGCAGAUUCUCGAGCUUCCUCUCUCUCUGUCUCUCACUUGAGGUAGGUUAGGUAGUCUUCGCUCUGUAACCAUUUAUCAAAAUUGAUCUCAGUUUAGAAUUCUUUAAGCUCAUAUUCAACGGUGAUUGAUCCAGAUCUUCCCGAGCUCCAGAAGAAGGGAUCGGAGAGAAAGAGAGUUUCUACGUUUCUCGAUCUGAAUCAUAGUAAAAGAUCUCUUCUUGAGAAAGAGACGAAACGUCUUUUGCAGAAGUUGCCAGUUUUGAAUUUGAAGUUAAAACUACCGAUUCUUUGAUGAGGUCUAGGUAGAAUCUAGGAUUGUAAUUGAUCUGCUCCCUUUGCUUUGAGUGUUUACCUAUACCUUCAUCCAACAGUUAAGCAAUAAUGAAUACGGAGAAUCGGAAUUUUCCAGCUAGGCCUCCUCCUCCUCCGUUCUCCUCCUCUCCUUUCGCAUCUGCUCCGCCGCCAGGUGUUGUUCCACCUCAAUCCGGUGGACCAGAGGCGGUUGGCUUUAGACCACCUGCAAGGCCUUUCACACCUUCUGGUCCUCCUAUGGCUCCACCAGCGGGUGUGAUGAGGCCUGGCCAACCUCCUUUGGUUUCUCAGCUUCCAGGGAGUAGACCUCCACCGCCAUCAGCUUAUGGUCCUCCCGGUGGUGGUGGUUCUUUUCAGCGGUUUCCAACCCCUCCUCCUAGUGGUGUACCACCACCACCUCAAACUCUUGCAGGUCACUUAUCGCCUCCCAUGUCUUUUCGCCCAC